RNAcentral lists this ribosomal RNA (492 nucleotides) under uncultured bacterium. RNAcentral's name for it is "partial 16S ribosomal RNA". It matches the Rfam family "Bacterial small subunit ribosomal RNA", at positions 29 to 507 of the family's 1533-position model. The record is from RNAcentral.
AGUGAACGCUGGCGGUAGGCCUAACACAUGCAAGUCGAACGGCAGCACAGUAAGAGCUUGCUCUUACGGGUGGCGAGUGGCGGACGGGUGAGGAAUACAUCGGAAUCUACUUUUUCGUGGGGGAUAACGUAGGGAAACUUACGCUAAUACCGCAUACGACCUACGGGUGAAAGCAGGGGAUCUUCGGACCUUGCGCGUUUGAAUGAGCCGAUUUCGGAUUAGCUAGUUGGCGGGGUAAAGGCCCACCAAGGCGACGAUCCGUAGCUGGUCUGAGAGGAUGAUCAGCCACACUGGAACUGAGACACGGUACAGACUCCUACGGGAGGCAGCAGUGGGGAAUAUUGGACAAUGGGCGCAAGCCUGAUCCAGCCAUACCGCGUGGGUGAAGAAGGCCUUCGGGUUGUAAAGCCCUUUUGUUGGGAAAGAAAAGCAGCAGGUUAAUACCCCGAUGUUCUGACGGUACCCAAAGAAUAAGCACCGGCUAACUUCGUG